Rattus norvegicus (Norway rat) is the source of this 14425-nucleotide non-coding RNA. The record is from RefSeq and is a predicted model, not a curated record. Lineage: Eukaryota; Metazoa; Chordata; Mammalia; Rodentia; Muridae.
CACAGAUGGACCUUUAUUGAGAUGAGCAGAUUCUAAGGGAGCUGCCUUGAAUGAACAGCCAAAGAAAGCAGAAAUGAAGAACAAGCAAUUGCAGCAGACAUGUUCAGUGUGUUUUCAACCUGAAAAGUAGGACUGGAAGAAACUGAUUAAGUCAAAUCACUUCUCUGUCUGUCCAUCCAUCCACCCACCCAUCCAUCCAUCCAUCCAUCCAUUCAUCCAUCCAUCCAUCCAUCCAUCCAUCCAUCCAUCCAUCCAUCCAUCCAUCCAUCCAUCCAUCCAUCCAUUUCCCUGAGGGAAGUCAGCUUUUAUUUCUGAGAAGGUCAAAGCAGCGCUCCCUUGUGGUGACAAUGAGGAUUGCAGGCAGUGAGAUAAGUGGAUAUUUAUUUAUUUAUUUAUUUAUUUAUUUAUUUAUUUAUUUAUUUAUUUCAUGAUCUGCGAUAGACUGCCACUUGUGGCCGGUCCCCAUCUGCAUCAGCUGUACCAUAAACCCAGUCUCAGUGUGACACAGAAAAAGCCUAAUUGGAAAGUAUGUCCUCUCUCUAAGCGACACUGUAUAAUAACAUACUCUGGACUGCAGGUCAGUCAAGGCCUGUGUUUAGGAGACUUGUAGACAUUGAAUGUCUGUGAGUCUGGACUUAGACUCUGUGGAGUGCUCAGGUCACCUGACUGUCCUGAAGCUUCCCACUGUGAUUUAUUUCCCUCCUACAGAGCCAGACACCUGAGCAACUGCAUUUCCUGGUUAUCCCCUAAUCCUCUUACACUGUGUAGAGUGUUCAAUCUCAGGGAGGGCCUGGGAAUCUGAGAGACACCACUGAGCCCCCUGGGCCUGGCUGACUCAACUUGAGGCUACUCUGUGUGUCUUCAUUUUGCUCACCAUCCAGAGACCUCAAAAGGCAGCAGUGAGCUUGCUGAGAGGCAAGGAGCCCCCAUAUUGGCCCAAAAGCAACUGUCCUCUUUUACAGGUUCAUCCACAGAGCAUGUAAUUUUGAUUGAUGCAACAUCGGGAAGAAUGAAUGACAUCAUCUCCCAAGGGCAAGUGCUGUGCUAGUGGACACUGAGGAGCUGCAGGGAUCAGACACCCUUUCCAGCCUCUCUUGUUCUUCCUUGUGAUGGUUCCUGCAGAUCUGAAAGAUCCAGGCAGUACAUGACAUGGGUUUGAAUAUAAUCUCAUUACACUUUAUUCCCUGCUCUGAAUCUAAGACCAGGUAAUUCCUACGUUUGUUUGUUUAUUUAUUUAUUUAUUCAUUUGAUAUAUGUGUGUGUGUGUGUGUGUGUGUGUGUGUGUGUGUAUCUGUAUACAUAUAUACAAUGUCGCUGUCUUUAGAAAUACCAGAGAGGGCAUCAAAUCUCAUCAGAGAUAUUUGUGAGCCACAAUGUGGUUGCUGGCAUUUGAACUCAGGACUUCUGGAAGAGCAAUCAGUUCUCUUAACACUGAGCAAUCUUUCCAAUUUCCAGUCUAACUUUCUUAAUUCCAGUACUGUAAUUCUUCAUUUAGGUUACAUCCUGAUCCCAGCCACGCUCCCUCCUCCUUUCCCAGUGCCACCUUACAAAUCCUUCUCACCAUAAUGCUCUCCCUUCUCUUUGUAGAAGGGCAGACUCCCUAGGUACCACCCCGCCCUGGGGCAUCUACAGUAUGAGGCACCCCCUGUCCCAAAGAUUUACAAUCAGGCUGCCCAGGUAUGGGGAAGGGUUCCCAUGGCAGGCAAGAGAGACUGAGACAGUCCUGGAUCUACUUGUCAGAUGACCCACAUGGAGACCAACUGCAGAUAGCUACACCUGGCCCUGGGGUUUGUUGCACAGGCUCUAGCAUACUCCAUGGUCCAAGGUAUCUGACUAUAGGGGACUUCUUGUAGUGUUUUAACCCCUCUAGUCUGCUCACCACUCUCCCCCACUCUUCCACAAGACUUCCCAAGCUCCAUCUGAGGACUGGCUGUGGCUUUCAGCUGCUGAGUGAAGCCUCUCCAGAGACAGGUGUGCUACUUUUCUGUCUGCAAGUAAAUCAGAGUAACAAAAGUACUGUCAGAGGUUGUCUCUGUCACAUGAGAUGGAUCUCACUUUGGGGCAGUCAUUGUUUGGUUGUUCCCUCAAUAUCUGCUAUAUCUUUAUCCCUGCACACUUAUUGGCAAAACAGAUUUUGAGUUGAAGGUGUUGUGAGUGUAUUGAUGUCCUCUUCCUCUUCUAGAAGUUCUUUCUUGCUACAGGAGGUGGCCAUUUCCAUCUUCUGCUCCGGUAGGAAUCUAAGCUAGAGUUACCCCCAUAGACUUCCCCAUCCUCUCCCUUACCAGGCAUACAGCAAGUCACCAGAGAUCCCUGGACACUCCUGCCCAGACAAUUUGUAAUCUCACUCCUAGCCCUCUUCCAAACCCCUCUCCCUAGACCUGAUCAGCAUUUCCAUCUCCUUUCCCUCCUCUUCUCUUACCUUGUUCCAUCACUUCAUCCUUCUUAGACUAUUUUGUUUCUCCUUCUUGUGAGAUCCACACCUCCUCACUCAGGCCCUCCUUCUUCCUUCAUGCCUAUCAACCUGUUAUCCUGCACUUUAUGGUUAAUGUCCACUUAUAAAUGACAUACAUUUUUCUGUGGUUCUGGGUUACCUCACUCAGGAUAACAUUCUCAAGUUCAUCCAUUUGCCUACAAAAUUCAUAAUGUAUUUAUUCUUAAUAGCUGACGAGUAUUCCAUUGUGUAGAUAUACAAUAUUUCCUGUAUCCAUUCUUCAGUAGGGGGACAUACAGGUUGUUUUCAGUUCUUGGACAUUACAGAUAAAACCACUAUUAACAUAGUUCAUCAAGCGUCCUUGUGGGAUGGUGGGUCACCAUUUGAUUAUAUGUCCCAGGGUUGUUUUGCUAAGUCCAGAUGAAAACUGAUUCCCAGUUUUCUGAGAAACUGCCAAUAUGAUUUCGAAAAUGGAUGUACAAGUUUUCAAUCCAAGCAGCAAUGGAGGAGUGUUCCCACUAUUCCACAUCCUCAUCAGCAUGUGCUGGAUGUCACUUUAGAUUUUUAUUUUAUCCAUACUGAUGCACAUAAUUUGGAAUCCCAGGGUGCUUUUGAUUUGGAUAUACCUGAUGACCAAGGAUGGUGACCAGUUCUUUAAGUGGCUCUUGGCCAUUCAAAGUUCUGCUGAUGAAUUUAUCUCUGCACCACAUUAUUAGGUUAGGAUAUUUGGUCUCUUGUAGUUUCAAUUGUUAUUUAUGUAAUUUUAAUAUUAGCCUUUUGUGCACUAUAGGGUUGGUGAAGAUCCUCUUCCAACCUGUAUGCAGACAUUUCUAUUAAGUGUUUUGUUUUACUUACAGAAGCUUUUCAGUUGCAUCAAGUUUCAUUUAUUAAUUGUUGAUCUCAAUAUCUGAGCGCCAUUGGUGUUCUGCUCAGGAAGUUGUCUCCUGUACCAAUGUGCUCAAGCCUAUUUCUCACUUUUUCUUGUAUCAGAUUUGAUGUAUAAAGUUUUAUUUUGAGGUCUUUGAUCCACUUGGACAUGUGUUUUGCACAGGUUUAUAGAUAAGGCUCAUUGCAUUCUUCCCUAUGCCUAUAUCCAAUUAAACCAGCACCACCUGUUCAAGAUGCUUUCUUAUUUUUUGUCAUAUGAUUUUGCCCACUUUAUUGACAAUAAGCAUCCAUACUUGUGUGGGUUUAUUUCAGGGUCUUGGAUUUCAUUUUAUUGAUCAGCCUGCCUGUUCCUAUACCAAUACUGUAGUUUUAUUGCUAUAGUUCUGUAGGACAGCAGUAAAUGAGAGAUGGUGAUUCCUCCCGAAAUUCUGUUAUUGUUCGGGAAUGUUUUAGCUAUCCUGGGUUUAUUAAAUCUUUCACUUGAAGUUGAGAAUUUCACGUUAAGGUCUGUAAAGACUUGUUUUGAUAUUUUAAUGGGUAUUGCAUUCACUUUCUGAUAUCUUUCAAUUGCUAUUUUCAGAGAUUUAAAAUUUUUGUCAUACAGAUCUUUCACUUUCUUAGAGUUACACUAAGACAUUUAUAUUAUUUGUUGCUAUUGUAAAGAGCAAUGUUUCCCUAAUUUAUUUGUCAGCCCCUUCAUUGUUUGUUUAAAAGAAUGGUACUGAUUUUUUUUAGUUAAUGUUGUAUCCACCCACUUUACUGAAGGUAUUUAUCAAAUGUAGGAGUUCUGUGAUAGAAUUUUUGGGGGCUCUUGUACAUACUAUGAUAUCAUCACAAAUGCCAAUAUGAUAUCUUCUUCCCUUCCAAUGCAUAUCUCGUUUUUCACAUUUAGUUGUCUUAUUGCUCUAGCCUGAACUUCAAGAACUAUAUUGAAAUGUUAGGGGGAGGGUGGCCAGCCAUGCCCUGCCCCAGAGUUUAUGGGAAUUAUUUUAAGUUUCUCUCUAUUUAGUUUGACGUUGGCUAGUGGACUGCUGUAUAUUACUUUGUGUUCAUGUAUUCUUCUGUAUCCUUCUCUCUCUGUAAGGUUCACAUGAUGGACUGUCACGUUUUGCCAAAGGCCUUUUCAGAAUCUACUGAGAUGAUAAUGAGAUUUUUUUAAAUUAAUCAAUUUAUUCAUUUAAUUUCAAAUGAUAUCCCCCUUCCUUGUUGCCCCUCCGCAAUCACCCAUUCCAUCCUCCCCAUGCCCCUCAGCUUGGCGUCUAUGAGGGAGCUCCUCCACUCUCUCCCCUACUCCCGCCUGACCACUCUAACAUCCCCCUAUGCUGGCAUAUCAAACCUCCACAGGACCAGGGGCCUCCUCUCCCAUUGAUGUCAGUGAAAGCCAUGUAUCUGGAGCCAUGCUUCCCUCCAUGUGUAUUCUUUAGUUUUUGCUUUGUUCUUCGGAGCUCUGGGUGUCCAGUAAACUGAUAAUGUUUUUCUUAUGGGGCUGAAUUCCCUCAGGUCCUUCAGUCCUUCACCUAGCUCUUCCAGUGGGGUCCCCAGGCACAGUCUGAUUGUUGGCUGUAAGUAUCUACAGCUGUAUGGGUCAAGUGCUGGUACAACCUCUCAGGGAAUAGCAAUAGCAGGCUUCUGUCAGUAAGCACAUCUUGACAUCAGUAACAGUGUCUCAGUUUCGUAUCUGCUCAUGGGAUGGAAUCCUAGGUGGAAUAGUUUCUGUAUGGCCUUUCCUUUAGUGUCUGUUCCAUUUUUUAUUGCUGUCUGUACUUUGGACUUGAACAUAUCUACAUAAAAAUUUUGAGAUGAUUCUGUGGCCCCAUCGCCGAUUUGGGGCUGUGUCUAACUAGUGGAGGUGUCUAUACAGGUUGUAGGUCCCCCUUGUUGCAUACUUCAGAUAAAGUCAACCGUUUGCAUCCUGGGGGACUCUCACUUCCCUAACAUCUGGGACUUUGUAGUGGCUACACCCUGUUCAUCAUUCCCCACUGCUACAUACUUUUAAUCAAUUUCCUGAAACUCUAAUUCUCUCAUGUCUUUUCUAUCACCUGAUCCUGUCCUCCCCACAACCCUGCAUAUUUAUUUAUCUUCCCCUUCUCUCUUGCUCCCAGGUCCCUGCCUUUCUCUACCUCCUGUGAUUAUUUUGUUCCCUGUACUAUGUGGGCAUGAACAUCCACACUUUGGUCUUCCUUCUUCUUAAGCUCCAUAUGGUUUGUGAGCUUUAUUGUGGCAUAUUGAGCUUUUGGGGGUAAUAAUAACUUAUCAGUUUGUACACAGCUUGUGUGUUCUUUUGUGUCUGGGUUACCUCUCUCAAGUUGAUAGAUUCUAGAUCUAUUAAUUUCCCUGAAAUUUUGUGAAGUCAUUGUUUAUAAUAACUUGGUAUACUCUAAUGUGCAAAUGCAUCUCAAUUUCUAUAUCCAUUCUUCCAUUGAGGUACAUGUGGCUUAGUUACAACGUGUGGAUAUUAUAAAUAAGAUUUAUAUAAACAUAAGGGAGCAUGGGGACUUGUUAUAUGUUGGAGCAUCUUUGAGGAUUUAUGUCUAGUAGUGUUAUAGCUAGUUGUUCAUGUAGAACUAUUUUUAAUUUUCCGAGGAAGCACUGCAUUGAUUUCUAAAGUGAUUUUACCAGCUUGUAGUUCUACCAGCAGUAGAGGAGUGUUGCUCUUUCUCCACAUCUUUGCCAGCAUCUCCUGUCGCCUGUGGUUUUGAUCUUAGUCAUUGGUGUGCUGUGGAUUGUGAGGGUCAUUUUGACUUACACAUCCCUGAUGAGGAAGGAUGUUGAACACUUCUUUAAGUGCCUCUCAUCCUUUCAAGGCUCCUUAGUUGAGAAUUCUUUGUUUAGCUCUGUACACCAUUUGAAAAAUAUUGUUUUUGGAUUUUUGGAGACUAACUUCUGAAUUUUUGUCUAUUUUUUAUAUUAGCUCUCUAUCAAAUGUAGGAUCAAUAGAGACCUUUUUCCAAUCUCGGGAUUGCCAUUUUCUCCUAAUGACUAAGACCUUUGCCUUACAGAUACUUUUCAAUUUUAUGAGGUCCCAUUUGUCGAAUGGUGAUUUUAGAACAUAAGCCAUUGGCAUUCUAAUCAAGAAAUUUCCCCUGUGCCAAUGUGUUUGAGUCUCUUCCCCAUGGUAUAUUCAGCGUAUCUGGUUUUGUAUGGAGGUCCUUCAUCAACUUGGAAUUGAACAUUGUACAAGGAGUGGAGAAUAGGUAAAUUUGCACUCUUUUCAUGCUCACCGACAGUUCAACCAACACCUUUGGUUGAAAAUGCUGUUUUGUUAUGCUGGAUGGAUUUGGCUUCUUUGUCACAGAUUAAUUGCCCAUCUGUGUGUAGGGUUAUUUUCUGGGUUGUACAUUGUAUUACCUUGAUCUACCUUCCUGUCCCUGUAUAAAUAACUGCGUUUUUUAAAAUUAUUUCUCUGUAGUACAGGUUGAAGUCAGGCAUGCUGAUUCUCCCAGAUUUCUUUUAUGGUUGAGAAUAUUUUCCCUGUCCUGUGUUUUUUGUCAUUCUAGAUGAAUUUGAGAAUUGCUCUAAUUCUAUGAUGAAUUGAGUUGGAAUUUUGAUGGGGAUUGCAUUGAAUCUAUAGACUGCCUUUGGUAAGAUGGCCAUUUUACUAUGUUUAUCCUGCUGAUCCAAGAGCAUGGGAGAUCUUUCCAUCUUCUGCGGUCUUCUCCAAUUUCUUUCAUCAGAGACUUGUCCCUGUUGUACAGAUCUUUCACUUGCUUGGUUAGAGUCACGCUGACGUAUUUUAUAGUAUAUGUGUCUAAUGUGAAGGGUGCUGUUUCCCUAAUUUUUCUCAGCCCAUUAUUUCUUUGAGUAGGGGAAUACUGCUGAUUUGGUAGAGUGAAUUUUCUAUCCAGCUACUUUGCUUAAGUUGUUUAUCAGCUGGAGGAGUUCUGGUACAGUUUUUUCUGGUCACAUGUUUAUACUAUCAUUUCAUCCACAAAUAGUGAUAUCUUAACUUCCUCCUUCCCAAUUUCUAUCCCUUUGCUCUCUUUUUGUUAUCUAAUUGCUCUGUCUAUAAAUUCUCGUAAUAUAUUGUAUAGAUAGGGGCAGAGUGGGCAGGCUUGCCUUGUUCCUGAUUUUAUUGGGAUUGCUUCAAGUUUCUCUACAUUUUGUUUGGUAUUGUCUGUUGGUUGUAUAUGGUUACAUAUUUACGUAAGUAUAAAUGUGUAUGAACAAAUAUAUAUAAACAUAUAUAUAUAUAUAUAUAUAUAUAUUCAGUUUAUAUGUCCUCUGCCCUUGUAACACUGAAUUACAGUAAUCAGGGUUGUUCUGGUUCUCAAUAUUAUAUGGGGGAAAGUUUGUGGAAAUGGUGUACUUUUAAACUACCCCCAUAGUUAAGCUUGUUUACAUGGCCAAAACAUUUAAAUUCUGAUGCUUAAUGAAAUUGAGCACCCUUGGUUUGUUAUUUUCUUUCUUCCUUAUAAGUGUGGGUAUGUUGUACCACCAUAUACAUCUGUGUAUAUAGGUGCGUGUGGAGGCUUGCCCUGAUGUUGACAGAAAUUAUCCUCUAAUUACUCUCCCUUGCUCAAUGAAAGAGAGUCUCUCAAUGGCUAAGCUGGCUGCCUGUUCUUCCUAGUAUUUAUGUAAUCUUCAGUUGAUCACUGAGCCAUCAGUACUGCACAUAUUUAUUUUUGAAAGUCACAGUCAAGAGUUUAUUUUGCCCCUUUUCUGCAUGGAAUUCUUUAUUGGUUUAUUACUCUUUUGAUAUAUUUUAAGUUGUACUCAUACCUUUUUGGCAAGGUUGGUUAUAGGGUUAUGCCACAAAUCCUGCCCUUUUCUUUGAACUGACAUGUAGUUGAUGAGCAAAGAUUGGAUUUUAAAGUUCUGCUCAGACCGUAGAGUAGGUAUAGUUUGUUUCAGGCACAAUACAUAAAAUAACUGAAAUAAUGUGCAAAAAUGAACAGCUCCCACUGAAACAUUAAAAUUUAGAUGAAAAUUUAGUUAGACUAGUUAGUUGUAUUUUUAUGCAUAAUCUUUUGUGUUCUCCUCUUGUCCAGCCAAGAUGCACACUUAUCUGGCAGUUCUGGAGAUCAUGAAAACCUGAUGUUUAAAGAGCGUCCACACAACUUCUCAAAAAGUCAUGAUAUGUCUGACAAAGUGGAAGCUUCUCGUAAAGUAACAGAGCUUGAGAAUGAACUGAACACUAAGUGAGAAGAGAGAGGUCACCUGUACUCAAGCAGGUCUCACCUUGGCAGUCGAUUUGUGGGGUGGGCCUGAAGAGGAAGGAACAAAUGUCCUUCUAAGUGAUGUUUAAUUUCUUUUUCUGAAAUGGUUGCAAUUGAGAGAUGUUCCACAUCCAAGAAAUUUUGUCUUACUUUACCAAGAAAAAUCCUGCCUAGUUCUUAGAGAUCUGACAAAGGUGAAGUUACCCGUUCUUGUUAGCAUUGGCACUCUUGGACCCAGAAGGCAGAAUGAAGGGCUUUAAAGAUGACAGGGUGUUUCCUCUACCCUACCUUUUCCAUUGUCAUUCCAAGGGCAGUAGGCCUAGACAUUAUCUUUUUGUUCUUUCUAAAACCUCCAUUUUCCUACCAGACAGUGAUCGCCGAAAAUUUCAGAGCACUACUGUGUCUCUGGAAUGCUGAUUCUCCCAGAAUUUCUUUUAUUGUUGAGAAUAUUUUCCCUAUCCUGUGUUUUUUGUCAUUCUAGAUGAAUUUGAGAAUUGCUCUUGUCUGCAGGAGACAGGCCUCUCAGCCUAGGGCAUUCCUGUGUCAUUGGGGACCCUGUAUGCAGGAGACAGGUCUCUUAGGGCAGGUGAAAUGUUGCCUGUACGUUCUUUAAUUUGCAUGAGUUGGCUGCAAGGAGUUGUUAAUGUAAGGCGCACAACACAUCAUUCAUCUAAAAUGUGAGCCUCCUGAUCCAAUGUAAAUGUUUGAGAUUGAAUAUCUAAUUCAUAAUUUAAUUUCCAAAAUUCUAGAGAAAGGUUUCAGAUUUGAUGCUAGGGAUUUUAUUUUUAUCAAUUCAAAUCACCAGAAUACUAAUCAUUAGUGGAAAGCAAAGGUGACAGUUCUAUUAGAGUUAACUAAUACUUCAGUGGUUCCAAAGGCUGUAGAGCUCUCACAGCAUUACACAGCAUUCUUGCAAGCAGGAGCAAAGACGUCCGAGAUAAAUGGGAGCUCAUGGGUGGCUGUCAAACACAGCUAUCUCAGAAGUUGUAAAUUUAGUAAAGAGAUUUAUAAACUCUGUCAGGAAAGGAAGAAGCGUGUUGCUGUGCCCCCUGUGACUUAAGUGUUAUAAGAACACUUGUGUCAGUUGAGUCUGCAUCUCUUUCUCAGCGUAACAGAUUUAUUUAAUUUUAAUUCCUGAAUUUUGCAUCCUCACUCCUCAGUUGAGCUAUGGGAGAAAGGCCUGUUUGCUUAUUUUGUGUGAAAGGUGACUUUAUGAUUUCAACACAUUUUCUUUUUCAGAAUCUCUAAUAUGGUUUCAGAAGAACUUUCUGUUCCAUAGAAAUCUGUGCAUCAGGGAAAUAAUCACAAUUUUAAAUAAAACGGAAGCAUUUGAAACCCAAAAAUUCUUUUUAAUAAGAGCUGUAUGAUCAAUUGUUGAAAUACAACCAUUAGUAUUUUUUACGUUUAUCAAGUUUCCUAUUUGAAAGCAUGUCUUUGUUUUUUCCUCUGUAAGAGAAUAGAAUGUCCCAGAGAGCUGAUGAAGGAUUUGCACACUUGUCUUGCCCAGGAAGUGCAUUCUCCUUGUGUCUGCAGCACAUAGGGAGCCUUUGAUAGCAUAAAAAGAAGCCUUUGAUACCUCCCAAAGAAGAGCAGGUACCUCCUGUCCCUAGUGCAUGGGAAGACAGAUGCACUCAAGAACCUGCAAGCAUCUGAAAACACUGCAUGUGUGUUUGUGAGACCUGUAGUGAAGUAGACUUGGCCAUCCCUGGACAGUGAGGUCAGAUGUGAAUAAGUGUUGCAAGAGCACAUUGAAUAGCAUACACUACUGUUGGGAAAUGUUUUCCUAAGGCCUGGACUCCCCAAACUACACACUGAUAAGCCCAUUGCCUUAAAGGUCUUCUGGUCAUUCACGUUUCAAAUGUAAGUGGCCGCUCAGUACUGAUGGAAGGAAGGUAUGUUUCAUUAUCAUGGCACAGGAUACACUGAUCCGUUCCAGCAGGCUGAAGGGUCAGUGGGAUGUUGUGUCCCCUCACCCUCAUGACUACUGUGCUUUAGCACGGGGAGCAGGACAGUGUCCAAAUCUCAGGGUUUGGGUGAAAUGUAAUGAUGGAGUUGGGAAGUUGCUGGUCAAAGGAUGUAAAGUUCAGAUGAACAGGGAAUGACUUUGAGUACUGUUACCUGUAGCCUAUGACACUCAGCAGUGUCCUAUAAAUAAUGCAAAGGAACUUUAAGAAAGGGGAAGCAUGUUUGAGGGUUUAAAAAGCUUGUGGGGAACUUUUUUGGAAGAACAGAACUUAUAUGUUGGAAUUAGUGUUUGUAUUUCUAUAUUUUAAUUUAUUUUUUUUAAUUCCUUAGAGACAUCCCUUAGAAACUAGAUUUGGUGCUGACCCAGGACCAUGUCUUCUUGUGCUCCCUGUCCUGUGUGGGAUUUGUGGCUCAGGCCUACUGUGGCCCCUGGUCUCUGUACCACUUCAUUUUCUGCCAAAUCCUACAUGAGUCUUCCUUUGCCCAUUCCCAGGUAAUAAAGUGAUUUCAGAAACAGUUAUACUCAUGAAUUUAUUAUACAAUUAAGCAGAAUAGGGUGGUUGAUUGACUUGGCAGAAGAAAUUUUCAUCUCCUAAAGUGUCAGGUGAUUGUGUUUGUAUAAGAAUUUUUUUCAACCUGUUCACUCACAGCGCUGGGAGGUAAGUGCCAGUCUUGAGAUUGCCUAAACGUUUUAAACAGUAUGUAGAUAGUACUGCCCCUACUCGCCCUGUGAUCCCAGGCAGUCACAUACAGAACAGGAUGGGGGAUCAGGAGACAUCAGCAGACCACAGGUGUGGAUAAAUGUUAAAGUGUGAGAAAUGAACACAGAACCUGCGGGGCCUGAUUGAAGGACCCUAUAAGACAUUGUCUGUGUGGUAGACUCUCCUGAGAUGGUAGAGUGGAAGGGGAAGGGCCUCCUCCAUUACAAGUCUCAGGGGGCAGGAUCGCCAGUGGGCUGGGAAAGUGAUGCCUCUAGGUGAGAUGGGUAUUCAAUGCCACAGUAAAUUGAUUUGUAUUUUACAAGCACUGUAAAUGCGAAGGAUAUUGAAAGGUAGCCUGGAAAACUUCAGUGUAUGGGCAAAGACUCAUGCACGCGCAUGAGUGGCCAAUGAACAAUACCCGGCCCUCCUCUCUCGGACUUAGCCACGCCCUUCAUUAGUUCCUGAGGGGAUUUUUCAGAACAGAGGUUAUGGCAGUUUCACCAUCCAAUUCCAUUUUUAGCAGGUGUGCUUCCUGGCCAAAGAAGUCAGAUGAGUGCAUGAGCAGCCCCUUCGAGGACAAGGCUUGGAUUCCCAGGAGCAGACAAGGAACUCUGUGGGCAUACUCCAAGGAAACUGGUGAGAACCACAGCCAGCAUUUUGGAUCUUUGCAAAUUUGCCUAAGUGUACAUUGAAAGAAGAAACCUCUAUUCUGGCAACUAGUGCUACAUUCCUUAAGGAGAGCACAGCUCUGCCUGCUUCAAGCUCAAGCUUAGCUAUCGGGAAGCUUCCCCCUGGGACUGGACCUUGGCACCUAACUCAGGACCACUUUACCUCACCUUGAGAGAUAGACUUCCAUCCACCCCAAGAUAGACAAGACUUCCAUCCACCCCACGACAGAGCUGGGGUUAGAGCAGCGACUUUCAGGCUCUGGAGCACACCAAGAAUGCACACUCUAGUGUUUGUGGGCUGCAGGCAGAACUGAGCAGAGGUUUCUGUUGGCUUCCGUUUGGAGGACUGGGGUCCAAGAGUUGGCUCCAGUUCUCCUCCGUUUGUAGGUAGCUGGUUCCUCUUGGUGCCCUGUGGUCUCUCUCUGCACCCUUCAAGUGUCUGUGACAUUAGGGUCCCUUUCAUAAAGACAGCAAUGUCAUUACAAGAGAGCCCACCUUUCAGGUUUCCUUGAAUGGAUCACGUGGAAGGCAUUGUCACCUACUAAGUGUCAGGGACUUCAUCCUUCACCAUAUUAAUUGGGUUACAACUUGUCCAAGUGAAGGUAGUGAAGAGAGACUCAUAGGGUCAGAGCAAACCUGACAGAACUAUCUCACCAUGCCCCAUUCUAAUUGGACCAGACUUUGUAAAUGUGUCCCAGGUCUUUCUGGCACUGCUGUCCAUCAUUGUUCUCACAGUAUAGCUCUGUCAUUUACGGGGAAAAACUGAACAAAAGGCAUCUCAUCAGAAAGGAAGAACAAGGCAGUAGACUUGUAGAUGGAAUCCUGUUAUAAAUGGCAGAGACCCUAAGGAAUCUGCUAAAGUUUAGCACUGAACAGUGAGUUAUACAAGACCAAUGAAUAUAAGCUCUGUCAGCAGAAAUAAAGCAUUUCUAUAUCCUAGCAGUAAACAAAACAAAAUAGGGGAAAAUUUUUAUGUCGUACACCAACUUUUAUAAAAACCAAAAAUAUUUUGUAAAUAAUUUCGCCAAACACACACUAAACUUUUAACUAUAGCUUCUAUUUUUGUUUGAAAUCUAGGAAGUAAGUAAAUUUCAUCAAAAUAUUGCAGAAUAAUUCAUAAUCAACUGAAUACAUUUAGAAAUCAACAGUAUAUAACUUGUAGGUUUUCAUUACUCAGUAUAUAACUCAGAGGUUUUCAAACUCAUAUCGUGGGUUCUCUUUACCAAUCAGAGUUUAGAAGUGCAGAUAAUGCUGUCUCCAUGUAGUCACACAUACUCUGUGAGAAGAUUUAGAGAGUUAAUUCUCUAACAGGAGGGUCUGCAUCCCAGUCUGGAGACAGAAUUCCCUUCAAGAGGGUCUGAAUCUCCUGCAGGUAUGAGUAGCCCCCUCAGAGGAAGGACUGAAUCUCCUGCAGGAGAGAAUGACAAAAAUGAGAGGAUCCAUAGGAGGAGGGACUUAAUUUCUUCUCUGAUGGGACUGGAGCACCAACAGGAAUUUGACUCUGUAGUCUGCUAGAUUAUUUUCAGUAUGAUGUUCUGAGUUCCCUGAAUCCACAGCUGGAGCACUGAGCCACCACCAGGAACACUGCACCUGGACCAGUUGUCUUCAGGGAAUUAAAUACGAAUUUCACUUCUUUGGCUAUUAAAAUCCCACCAUGCUCUAGCUUCCUUCCAACAUCCACCCUUCAUUGACCACCAUCUCAGCUUCUCAAUAAAUCCUUCCUCUCCUUGAUUUUCCAAGACUACCUACGUCUUAUGAGCACCUACACACACACACACACACACACACACACACACACACACACACACACACACACACACACACACUCACACACCUGGCUUUGAAGGGAUGAGAUUUUGAUUUUUAAGGCUGAAAUGUUUCUAUGACUUUCUCUGUAAACCCUGCUACCCUGCUUCCCAGGUACUUUCCACGGCACCUUACUGACCGAAAGAUAAAAGAGUCUCGAGUAUCAAGCUUGCAUCCCUGGUAGUCCUCAGGUCUGGAGCUGAUGGGCUCAGAGCCAUGGGGUGUGUGUGGGUAGCCGGCCAGGCCUUGCUGAGGCUGACUUGUCUUGUCUCUGCAGUAUGUGAAGGAGUCUUCACAACCUGACUGUUGACUUUCUCCUUGCUGAGACUGUUUCUACCAUUUCUUGUUCUCUGUUCAUUAAUGGUGUUUCAGUGUGGGCAGGUAAAUGCUGUUUUGAAUCAUUUUUUUUUUUUUGGAUCCUGGCUGCAGGUUAAAGAAAAAAAAGGUAGUUGAAUUGGAAACAGAAAAUGCUGUUCUGUCCCUGAGAUUGGCAUAGGUAAUCUCUGUCCUGUAGACUGAUUGACUGAUGAGACACAUGUGAGUGUUUGCUUUGCAUGGGCUACUGCAGUUGCAAAAGAUUAAAAGAACGGUAGCUAUCCUUUGAUGGUUGGUCCCCUCCAGUGUGGUGCACAUUUAAUGAGUCAUCCACUAGUGGAACAUAUAUUAAUCCUAAAUUUUUCAUCCUCGUGCUCAGAAGUAUUUAAGGAAUAAUCCAUUAAUGAUACAUCCAACAGUUGGGUCUGGACAACUUUGUUGUACUGUUUAUGCAUGAUGAAUUCAUCCAAAUUAAUUUUAACCAAUCUAUAGAUA